This 279-nucleotide unclassified non-coding RNA is filed under the name plant metagenome. RNAcentral's name for it is "partial contains small subunit ribosomal RNA, internal transcribed spacer 1, and 5.8S ribosomal RNA". The record is from RNAcentral.
UUUCCGUAGGUGAACCUGCGGAGGGAUCAUUAUUGUAUAACCGAGGUGCAAAGGCUCUCUCUGUACCCCACGGUCGUUCACGCACGCGUCCCCCCGCACACCUCCAUCGCACCCCGCGGUUCACGACGGCGUAGGUACCCCUUUGGUAUGUUCUGGUGGGGGCUUACGUCUGCACAUAAACUUUAACUGCAAUCUAGAGUGUAUUUGUUGUUUUUGCGGUCGCACAACCAAUCCAACUUUCAACAACGGGUCUCUUGCUUCUCUCAUCUAUGAAGAACG